This 1527-nucleotide long non-coding RNA is filed under the name Homo sapiens (human). RNAcentral describes it as "HSALNT0352079". Lineage: Eukaryota; Metazoa; Chordata; Mammalia; Primates; Hominidae. The record is from RNAcentral.
AACCAUCCCAGUCACAAAAUGCCGUGAACUCUGGUGUCAUGGGAUUUUGCGGGCUGCCGGUGCCUCUUCUCCUGAGGCAUUGGGGCCUCAUGAUCAAGAGCAAAUGUCUUUGAGUUAUUCAGAGGCUGCUCUACUGAGAAGAUGAACAAAUUUCUUGUCCAAAACAAUGUAUUUCAAACGUGCCCCUCGGGCCUUUCCCGUGUUGCUCACUGGUAGGUCAGUAGAUCAUUGGAGAAAAUGAUCUGAAGCUCAGGAGUGAGAAUUAAUACCAGCAACCUUGUUGCUGAAUCUAGGGAUAGUUUCACUCCUAUCCCUGACCAUUUUCCCUUUUUGAAACACUGUUCCUUUGGCUUCUAUUACAUUUUUCUUCUGAUUUUUCCACCUGCUUCUCUGGCUUCUUUUUAAGGCUCCCUCCUCCUUCCCCCUUUGUCCAUCUUUAGCUACACACCUGUGUAAUUUCUAUUUUGAUGUCCUACAACUUAAAACUUAACAUGUCUGAAACUUCGUCUGUUACCAUCCCCCCAAAUCCUGCUUCUGUGAUCCCAACCAUUUGGAAUACUCUAAAAGCCUCCUGACUAAUCUGGAGUCUUGCUGCCCUUUAAUUUAUUAGUUGCAUGUUAGCCUUAAUGAUCUUUAUAAAUGUCAAUCUGACUGCGUCACACCUUUCAGUGGCGUCCCUAUGGGUUAAAAUUCAAAUUCCUUAACAUGAAUUACAAGGACCUGUAGGAUCUGGAUCUUGCCAACCUUUCCAGCCUGCCAAAUUGGCCCCGCACAAUAAACUAAGGUUACUUCAAAGGUGCCAAGUGUUUUAGCCCCUUGGAAUAGGUACUUUUUUACUGUGACUCCUCUGGCUAGAUGUCCCUCUUAGGUUCUCCAUAGCAUUUUGUGCAUCUCCUAUUGAAUAUGUCACCCUGUGACAUAAUUGCCUCCUUAUUCACUGAAUUCCCCUCCAUUCCCCCCUUCCCUUAAUAUUUCUAAGCUCUAUGAAGGCAGAGACUAUCUUGUUCACUUUUUCACCAAGGCCCAGCAUAAAUCUGUAACGUAUUAGAAACCUUUGAAUGAAUGAACUAUGUCUUAAAGUGUUUUUUUUUUCAUAAUAUGGUUAAAAAGCCCUAGUAAAUCUUCUCUUAGAAGAUUUCUUACAUUCACCCUUUCCUUUCAGUUUUCACAUCACUGCCCUGCGAAACACUCAUGUUCAGGGCCUCUGUCUCAGGCUUGGACUGGUUUUAAGAUCUUCCUCAUUGCCCUAAGUCUCUCUCUUCCAUACUAUACUUCAUAUUUUUGUGAUGUUGAGCUUCCUAAAGUACUCUAAAUAUAAGCCUUCAUCUCUUAAAAAGCUUUGAAAGGAAUAUGACCUAAAAGAUAUUAAUACCCUAAUACUCCGUAAAAUCUUCCUAGUUGUAGGAAGAUCUAGUUAUAUACUAGAAAACUUUAUUUCAGAAGACAUGUAUAGCCUACAUGUAAAAGUUUUUAGCAGCACUGUAAUAGUAAAACACUGGAAACAAACCAAAUGUCCAACAAAAAAAA